Molecule: unclassified non-coding RNA, 906 nt
Filed under: Mesorhizobium sp.
Lineage: Bacteria; Pseudomonadati; Pseudomonadota; Alphaproteobacteria; Hyphomicrobiales; Phyllobacteriaceae
Description: partial contains 16S-23S ribosomal RNA intergenic spacer and 23S ribosomal RNA
Rfam family: tRNA (bases 264-337)
Source: RNAcentral
GGAAACGCUCAUUUGUUGAGCCUCUACCUUUCGGUUCUCUUGGAACAAGACGGAAGAUAGUCAAUCUUACCGUCGCGCAUACCUGAAGCGGGUCUGCCGCCUUCGUUUCUCUUUCUUCAGCGAAUGACUUUGGAUUGCGCUCGCGCGCCGUACCGCACCCUUCGGGUGCUGGCGCUCCGCGAGGGCGCGGCACGAGCCGCGACGGCCGGUCGGCCUUGCGAGGCUCUGCCUCGAAGCUGAUCGCCAUCUGCGCUUGGGGCUAAGGGCUUGUAGCUCAGUUGGUUAGAGCGCGCGCUUGAUAAGCGUGAGGUCGGAGGUUCAAGUCCUCCCAGGCCCACCAUUCCUUUCGACACGAAGGUUAUCAGGGGCCGUAGCUCAGCUGGGAGAGCGCCUGCUUUGCAAGCAGGAUGUCGUCGGUUCGAUCCCGUCCGGCUCCACCAACACGCGAUCCGCAAGGAUCGUCGUGCAGCGCGAUCGCAAGAUUGCUGCGUGGGUGUGGAAAUGGUGAGAAAAAAGUCAUUCGUAAAAAGAGUUUGCGCCGAGCUUCUUGGCUCUGCGCCUGUUCUGUUUGACAUCGUAAAGAGAAGAUUUGUUCGAACUUCAUGGCUGUAAAGCUGUGAUUUGUCGCAAGGGACGCUCAAUCCCUUGCCUAUGAUGGGUUUGCCUAACCGCGCCCUCGAACGGAUCUCGAGAAGCUGGUCUUUUUGUGCCAAUUCCAAGCAGUAAUAUCCCGCACAGGGUAUUGCUGGAGCGACGAUCCCUUCGGGAUCGCGCGGAUGGGUAUUGGCAAUGAGAACGAUCAAGUGUCUUAAGGGCAAUUGGUGGAUGCCUUGGCAUGCACAGGCGAUGAAGGACGUGAUACGCUGCGAUAAGCUACCGGGAGGUGCGAAUACCCUUUGAUCCGUA